GCAGAACGCGAAGAACCUUACCAAGGCUUAAAUGUAUUAUGACCGUCCUGGAAACAGGACUUUCUUCGGACAGAAUGCAAGGUGCUGCAUGGCUGUCGUCAGCUCGUGCCGUGAGGUGUCAGGUUAAGUCCUAUAACGAGCGCAACCCCUAUCACUAGUUGCCAGCGUUUCUAAGACGGGGACGUCUAGUGAGACUGCCAACGCAAGUUGCGAGGAAGGUGGGGACGACGUCAAGUCAUCACGGCCCUUACGCCUUGGGCCACACACGUGCUACAAUGGCCGGUACAGAGGGCAGCUACUAUGUGAAUAGAUGCGAAAUCUCGAAAGCCGGUCUCAGUUCGGAUUGGAGUCUGCAACUCGACUCUAUGAAGCUGGAAUCGCUAGUAAUCGCAUAUCAGCCAUGAUGCGGUGAAUACGUUCCCGGGUCUUGUACACACCG
RNAcentral lists this ribosomal RNA (439 nucleotides) under uncultured bacterium. Its description in RNAcentral is "bacterial SSU rRNA". It matches the Rfam family "Bacterial small subunit ribosomal RNA", at positions 954 to 1392 of the family's 1533-position model. The record is from RNAcentral.